Carassius auratus (goldfish) is the source of this 617-nucleotide long non-coding RNA. RefSeq lists it as uncharacterized. The record is from RefSeq and is a predicted model, not a curated record. NCBI's taxonomy places the organism in Eukaryota, Metazoa, Chordata, Actinopteri, Cypriniformes, Cyprinidae. The transcript is spliced from 4 exons.
UUUAGUCAUGAACUUGUAAGUUGUACUUCCUUUCCCUGCGCUGUAAACUUGAGUAAAGCGGCUUUUCAGCCCAUCCGACUCAAUCUACAGCCAUCGAUCGGGAAUGACCGCCGAGAUGACCGAACCGAUGACCGUGAGAGGGACCUUGAAGGGCCACAACGGCUGGGUGACCCAGAUCGCCACGACGCCGCAGUUUCCGGACAUAAUUCUGUCCGCUUCCCGAGGUGACAGACGAAUCUGAUUAUCCCGCGCAGCUGCUGUACGAAGAUCAUUUACCGUGGUAUUUCCAAGAAUGGCAGUCCAAGGAACUUUAAUAAAUACCAUGAUAAUACUGUGUUACCAUGUUCUUGGACGAGAGUCACACCGAGUGGGUUUCCUAUAACAGCAGUAACCCCAUCAUCGUCUCCUGCGUCUGGGACAAGAUGGUCAAGGUUCCUGAACACCGUCAGCGUCUCUCCUGAUGGGUCCCUCGGUGCCUCUGGUGGAAAGGAUCUGGAGGGAAAGAUCAUCGUUGAUGAGCUCAGACAGGAAGUCAUCACCAGAGGUGUCAAGUAACGAAGUACAAAUACUUCGUUACUGUACUUAAGUAGAAAUUUGGGGUAUCUAUACUUUACUUG